RNAcentral lists this ribosomal RNA (253 nucleotides) under uncultured bacterium. RNAcentral describes it as "partial 16S ribosomal RNA". It matches the Rfam family "Bacterial small subunit ribosomal RNA", at positions 524 to 776 of the family's 1533-position model. The record is from RNAcentral.
UACAGAGGGUGCAAGCGUUGUUCGGAAUUACUGGGCGUAAAGCGCGUGUAGGCGGUCCGUUAAGUUGGUAGUGAAAUCCCAUGGCUCAACCAUGGAAGUGCUGCCAAAACUGGCGGGCUGGAGUGCCGGAGAGGGUGGCGGAAUUCCCAGUGUAGAGGUGAAAUUCGUAGAUAUUGGGAGGAACACCGGUGGCGAAGGCGGCCACCUGGACGGUAACUGACGCUAAGACGCGAAAGCGUGGGGAGCGAACAGG